CCUACGGGUGGCAGCAGUGAGGAAUAUUGGUCAAUGGACGGAAGUCUGAACCAGCCAUGCCGCGUGCAGGAAGACGGCUCUAUGAGUUGUAAACUUCUUUUGUACAAGGGUAAAACUGGAUACGUGUCUUCCGCUGCACGUACUUUACGAAUAAGGAUCGGCUAACUCCGUGCCAGCAGCCGCGGUAAUACGGAGGAUCCAAGCGUUAUCCGGAUUUAUUGGGUUUAAAGGGUGCGUAGGCGGAUUGAUAAGUUAGAGGUGAAAUGUCCGGGCUUAACUCGGGAACUGCCUCUAAUCCUGGUGAUCGAGAGAGUAGAUGCGGUAGGCGGAAUGUAUGGUGUAGCGGUGAAAUGCUUAGAGAUCAUACAGAACACCGAUUGCGAAGGCAGCUUACCAAGCUAUAUCUGACGUUGAGGCACGAAAGCGUGGGGAGCAAACAGGAUUAGAUACCCCAGUAGUC
RNAcentral lists this ribosomal RNA (460 nucleotides) under uncultured bacterium. RNAcentral describes it as "partial 16S ribosomal RNA". It matches the Rfam family "Bacterial small subunit ribosomal RNA", at positions 338 to 795 of the family's 1533-position model. The record is from RNAcentral.